UAUGGCGAAAUCGGUAGUUUGACCGACCAUGCCCCUGCCACAACAUUUGCACAUUUGGAUGCUACUACCGUACUUUCCAGAGGAUUAGCUUCCAAGGGUAUUUAUCCAGCAGUAGAUCCCUUUACACGUAAGACCUAUUGCUCAUGCGAUUUGGGAUCCUCAUUUUGGUCAACCCGCUGUGGAAGCCUUUACUCGAGGAGGUGGAUCCUCGAGUGA
RNAcentral lists this ribosomal RNA (216 nucleotides) under Triticum aestivum (bread wheat). RNAcentral's name for it is "partial small subunit ribosomal RNA". The record is from RNAcentral. Lineage: Eukaryota; Viridiplantae; Streptophyta; Magnoliopsida; Poales; Poaceae.